UACGUAGGGACCAAGCGUUGUUCGGAUUUACUGGGCGUAAAGGGCGCGUAGGCGGCGCUGUAAGUCACUUGUGAAAUCUCCGGGCUUAACUCGGAACGGUCAAGUGAUACUGCAGUGCUAGAGUGCAGAAAGGGCAAUCGGAAUUCUUGGUGUAGCGGUGAAAUGCGUAGAUAUCAAGAGGAACACCUGAGGCGAAGGCGGGUUGCUGGGCUGACACUGACGCUGAUGCGCGAAAGCCCAGGGGAGCGAACGGG
RNAcentral lists this ribosomal RNA (254 nucleotides) under uncultured bacterium. RNAcentral describes it as "partial 16S ribosomal RNA". It matches the Rfam family "Bacterial small subunit ribosomal RNA", at positions 524 to 776 of the family's 1533-position model. The record is from RNAcentral.